AGCCAUGAUAAGAAUAGAAAGAGAAAACGAAGAGAUAGACAGAAAAAAGGAAAUAGAUAAAAUAAAACAACAAACCACAAAAGAAAUACGAAAAAUAGAAAAAACUAAAAAUAGUAGGAUUGCUGAAUUAGAAAAAGAACUACAAAUGCUAAAAGAUUUAUAUGAAAAGAGACAGAAAGAAAAAGUAGAAAAAGAUAAAUAAAAAAAUUAUUAAACAAGAUAAAUCAAUUUAAAGAAAAAUUAGAAAUAAAAAAUAAAGAACCAGAAACCAGUGAAUUAGAAAUAAAUACAAUAGAUGCUGAAGAAACGGAUA
RNAcentral lists this long non-coding RNA (313 nucleotides) under Capsicum annuum. RNAcentral's name for it is "long non-coding RNA (CANN_LNC000429)". The record is from RNAcentral. Lineage: Eukaryota; Viridiplantae; Streptophyta; Magnoliopsida; Solanales; Solanaceae.